GAUAAUAUUCCUCAGAUCAAGUUGCUGAGAUCUAAAUGUUUCAUGCAUAAAUCAAGGGGAAAAAAAAGCAGUAUUCAUAUUAAUGGAACCAUCAUCUAAUAGAUACAAACAAGCAAAAUAUAAAAACUCAAGCAAGGAAGUUUUGUUAUAAAUGUUGGAGAUCAACAGUACAUCACAUUGCUCUAGAAAUAGAGUAUCACAAAGACUACUGAAGCCAUCUCCUAUGAGUAACAGAUCAAAAUAAAGUAUAUCCUGCUGAUUUACUGACAAAGAUAAGUAUAUACUGCUGAUUCACAGACUAAGAUAAAGUUCCUCCUGCUGAUUCAUGGACCAAGAUAAAGAACAUCCUGCUGAUUCACAGACAAAGAUAAAGUUCCUCCUGCUGAUUUACAGACACUUGUAUGGGCUGCUACUUGUGAUUAAGAACUGACUUCAAAUGAUAGCAAGAGGAUGAUUUAAGCAUACAUAACUAAACUGGAAGAACAGAUGAAGUCCAAAACGCUAAAGCAACAGACAACCCAGAUGAAAAAAAAGUAGGCUACAUCCUGCUGAUUCACAGACCAAGAUAAAGAACAUCCUGCUGAUUCACAGACCAAGAUAAUGUUCCUCCUGCUGAUUCACAGAUCAAGAUAAAGUUCCUCCUGCUGAUUUACAGA
Molecule: long non-coding RNA, 656 nt
Organism: Biomphalaria glabrata
Lineage: Eukaryota; Metazoa; Mollusca; Gastropoda; Planorbidae
Exons: 5
Source: RefSeq, a predicted model, not a curated record